UACAGGGGGCUCGAGCGUUAGUCGGAAUCACUGGGCUUAAAGGGUGCGUAGGCGGCCCGCCAAGUGCUUUGUGAAAUCCCCGAGCUCAACUCGGGAACAGCAGGGCAAACUGGCGGGCUUGAAGCAGGUAGGGGCUGGAAGAACAGUUGGUGGAGCGGUGAAAUGCGUAGAUAUCAACUGGAAUGCCGAUGGGGAAGCCGUCCAGCUGGGCCUGUCUUGACGCUGAGGCACGAAAGCGUGGGGAGCAAACAGG
RNAcentral lists this ribosomal RNA (253 nucleotides) under uncultured bacterium. RNAcentral's name for it is "partial 16S ribosomal RNA". It matches the Rfam family "Bacterial small subunit ribosomal RNA", at positions 524 to 776 of the family's 1533-position model. The record is from RNAcentral.